CCUACGGGAGGCAGCAGUGGGGGAUAUUGCACAAUGGGGGGAACCCUGAUGCAGCGACGCCGCGUGGGUGAAGAAGCGCCUCGGCGCGUAAAGCGCUGUCAGCAGGGAAGAAAAUGACGGUACCUGAAGAAGAAGCCCUUGCUAACUACGUGCCAGCAGCCGCGGUAAUACGUAGGGGGCAAGCGUUAUCCGGAUUUACUGGGGGUAAAGGGGGCGCAGGCGGCGAUGCAAGCCAGGAGUGAAAGCCCGGGGCCCAACCCCGGGAUUGCACUUGGAACUGCGUGGCUGGAGGGCAGGUGGGGCAGGCGGAAUUCCUGGUGUAGCGGUGAAAUGCGUAGAUAUGAGGAGGAACACCGGUGGCGAAGGCGGCCUGCUGGACUGCAACUGACGUUGAGGCCCGAAAGCGUGGGGAGCAAACAGGAUUAGAUACCCCAGUAGUC
Molecule: ribosomal RNA, 440 nt
Filed under: uncultured bacterium
Lineage: Bacteria
Description: partial 16S ribosomal RNA
Rfam family: Bacterial small subunit ribosomal RNA
Source: RNAcentral